CCUACGGGUGGCAGCAGUAGGGAAUAUUGCUCAAUGGGGGAAACCCUGAAGCAGCAACGCCGCGUGGAGGAUGAAGGUUUUCGGAUUGUAAACCCCUUUUGUUAGAGAAGAUAAUGACGUUAUCUAACGAAUAAGCACUGGCUAACUCCGUGCCAGCAGCCGCGGUAAUACGGAGGGUGCAAGCGUUACUCGGAAGGACUGGGCGGAAAGAUAGCGUAGGCGGGAUAGCAAGUCAGAUGUGAAAUCCUAUGGCUUAACCAUAGAACUGCAUUUGAAACUGUUAUUCUAGAGUGUGGGAGAGGUAGGUGGAAUUCUUGGUGUAGGAGUAAAAUCCGUAGAGAUCAAGAGGAAUACUCAUUGCGAAGGCGACCAGCUAGAACAUAACUGACGCUGAUGCGCGAAAGCGUGGGGAGCAAACAGGAUUAGAUACCCUAGUAGUC
Molecule: ribosomal RNA, 440 nt
Filed under: uncultured bacterium
Lineage: Bacteria
Description: partial 16S ribosomal RNA
Rfam family: Bacterial small subunit ribosomal RNA
Source: RNAcentral